UAUAAUGUUUUAACUCUUCGUUUUAUUUAAAAUUUUUUUACGAUUAAUAUUUUUAUUCUUACUAGAUGAUAAAACAUGAAUUGUACUUUAUACGUGGCUAAAUUUUAAAGUUUUUUAACAAAUUUUUCAUAUAAAACGAAUGGUCAAAUGUUGGAUACAGAAAAAC
RNAcentral lists this microRNA precursor (166 nucleotides) under Oryza brachyantha (malo sina). RNAcentral's name for it is "MIR812 microRNA precursor family". It matches the Rfam family "MIR812 microRNA precursor family", at positions 27 to 190 of the family's 205-position model. The record is from Rfam by way of RNAcentral. Lineage: Eukaryota; Viridiplantae; Streptophyta; Magnoliopsida; Poales; Poaceae.